Molecule: ribosomal RNA, 254 nt
Filed under: uncultured bacterium
Lineage: Bacteria
Description: partial 16S ribosomal RNA
Rfam family: Bacterial small subunit ribosomal RNA
Source: RNAcentral
CACGUAGGGGGCGAGCGUUGUCCGGAAUCAUUGGGCGUAAAGAGCUCGUAGGCGGCUCAGUAAGUCGGGUGUGAAACCCUCAGGCUCAACCUGGGGACGCCACCCGAUACUGCUGUGGCUAGAGUCCAGUAGGGGAGUGUGGAAUUCCCGGUGUAGCGGUGAAAUGCGCAGAUAUCGGAGGAACACCAGCGGCGAAGGCGGCACUCUGGGCUGGUACUGACGCUGAGGAGCGAAAACGUGGGGAGCGAACGAGG